Long non-coding RNA from Grus americana (Whooping crane), 416 nucleotides. RefSeq lists it as uncharacterized. NCBI's taxonomy places the organism in Eukaryota, Metazoa, Chordata, Aves, Gruiformes, Gruidae. The transcript has 4 exons. The record is from RefSeq and is a predicted model, not a curated record.
CGCUCUGCCCCGGGGUCCCCGCCCGCGCACGCCGGGGCCCAGCGCUGCCACGGGGGUCGGGCCGGACCGGCCGCCUCCACGCGGGACUGACCGCGGCCGGGACCCGGGAGCGCCCGCGGCAGGUGCGGCAAGCGGCACGGCUCGGCACGACUCCACACGGCUCCGCCCGGCCCCGCCCCGCCCCGCUCCGCCCGGCGCUCACCCAGAAGCUGCUGUUUUCUUUCACAGUCUUCAGCAAGUCUGCAGCUGCCUGCAAGGGAGCACAAGGUCUAUGAGGCACGUAUCACAACCAGCGUGAGGCUCGGCACGAAAGUGGAGAUUUUCUGCAGAGACUCGGCCACUGGAGUGAUCUCAGGACUAUAAACUCUGCCUGUAUUGUAUCGGAAGAAUAUUUGGAUGCAGAGUUCAGUUAUCUA